Non-coding RNA from Lonchura striata (white-rumped munia), 270 nucleotides. Lineage: Eukaryota; Metazoa; Chordata; Aves; Passeriformes; Estrildidae. The record is from RefSeq and is a predicted model, not a curated record.
GCCCCGGCCGGCGGAGCUCGGCUGCGGGCCGGGGGUGCGCCGCUCCCCCGGGAGAACCGAGGCUCCCCCGGGAGGGAGGGGAAGGGCCGGGGGUCUGCCGUGUGCUGCUGACCCCCCAGGUCCUGGCAGUGCUCCUCUGUCCCACCAGCAAACUCCGGGAGAAGCCCCCAGAGCUCCUUCCAGGAAAAGCAGUUCCGACCGCAGCACCACGGCUGCAAAAACACAGCGGCUUGCAGGGUGCAUGUGAUGAUGAAUAAGCAUGAAACCGUG